This 4172-nucleotide long non-coding RNA is filed under the name Sus scrofa (pig). RNAcentral's name for it is "lncRNA (ENSSSCG00000062237.1)". Lineage: Eukaryota; Metazoa; Chordata; Mammalia; Artiodactyla; Suidae. The record is from RNAcentral.
AAGUAAAAAGAUAAGUCCUUCCUCACAAGAUUUGGGUUAUGUGAGGGAAUAAUAAUAUUGCCUAACACCAUGCUUGAUACAUCAACAAAUCUAUUUUCUGCUGCCUUUAUAUGGGGCUAGUUUAUAUUUUAGGUGAAAGUUUUGGAAGAGCCACUAAUGAAAAUUUAGAAACAUAAAGGCCUAAGUGUUGAAAGGUAGUUCUAAUGGCUCAUGAAAUUGUUAACUCUUAGACCCUAAGUUCUAUAACUUGAGAUAUUGGAAAACUGGAGGGAGGACUUUAGGGCAUUUUCAGAGUCCCACCAUGAGGUAUGUCCCUGAUACACAGCUUCUUCCAGACCACACACUGCCUUGAACACGAGCUGGAUCUCCUUUAUUCAUUAAGCCCCAUUUAUCCCGUAGUUUCCACCCUUAAUGCCUUACUCCCUCCUUAACUUAUUGGAGUUAAAGUGUUGACAGUGGAUAAUAAAAUACUCCCUACCACACCUCCAACUUUUUAACUGCUCCCUUUAGUACUUGUUACCCAAAGAAAUGACCAAUUACAUGAAACGGCCCAAUUCCUUACUUCUCAAUUGUUGCUUGACAUGCACCUGUGGGCAUCCAGUAGUUUAUACUUUGGGAAAUGGAAAAUGAGAAUUGGUCAGAGCAGAAUGCAUACUAUUUCAGACAUGUCUCUUCCUGUUGUUGGGUUAGAAUGAGAGUUAAAAAAGAAAAGCAGUUUGUUUGUUUUUUUAUGAUUUUUGUUUUUUCCUUUAUAGCUGGUUUACAGUGUUUUGUCAAUUUCCCACUGUACAGCAUGGUGACCCAGUUACAUGCACAUGUAUACAUUCUUUUUCUCACAUUAUCGUGCUCCAUCAUAAGUGACCAGACAUAGUUCACAGUGCUACACAGCAGAAUCUCAUUGCUGAUCUGUUCCAAAGGUGAUAGUCUGCGGCCCUAAAAAAGAAUGAAAUAAUGCCAUUUGCAGCAACAGGAUGGGAGUAGAGACUCUCAUACUGAGUGAAGUAAGUCUGAAAGAGAAAGACAAAUACCAUAUGAUAUCAAUUACAUCUGGAAUCUAAUAUAUGCAAAUGAACCUUUCCACAGAAAAGAAAAUCAUGGUCUUGGUGAAUAGACUUAAGAAAAACAGUUUUAACUCCUGUUUAUAAAAAACAUUAGUGAAGUGCUGAGGGGAUGUGUACUAUUUGCAUCCUUCCUAUUUAAUAUUUUAUUGCUCUAAGGCAUGAGAAAGAGUAGCAGUGGCAGAGAGAACCUGGGGCAGAUCUGAUCAGGCUUCCCUCUUACUGUUUCUCUUCUAGUACUUCUUACUCUAAGAAAGAGAAUACUUUCUGUAUAGAUUCCCCCUUAUCAAGUUGAGUGAGCCCACACUCUUGAGUUGUGCAGGAGUAAAAAGUUACACAAACAGUGGCAUUGAAGGCUACCUGAGGACUUGGGUUCUGGUAUGACUGUCUGCACCAUAGACAGCACACAAGGUCAAAGAACCAGGAGAGGGAGGAUCAUGGGCCCAGUCAUAGGGACUCUGAUUGAGGAAAGUGGAUCUUCACAGUGGAUUGGCUGGUAGAAAGCUCAGGACCUCUACACCGUAUACAAACUUAAUGUUCUGUUAUUUGUACCCAGGGAUACAGAUGAUAAAGUUUUACAAAUCAAUGUGUUUUUUCCUCUAUCCCCCCUUACCUGUGUUUGUAGGAACUUGUUAUCAUGAGAACUAGAGGGAGGGAGGCAGCACACAAAUUUUUCCAGGAAAGAUGUCCAAGAAAGCCACAUUUUCUGAAAGUAGGGACCUGGAACUCAUGAAAGAGUAUCCUGAUGUGGAUAUUGUACAAAAAAAGAAAUUACAUGUUCUGCCUGGCUUCUGGUUGCCAGGGCCCUGUCUCCCAGGCUCUUGGGAAUCCCAAAGGCCAGUGGUGGCUUGGCCUAAUGGGCUUGUUUGGUGGAUCCAGCUGUACCCUGGAUCUAGCAGUUUUUUCCUUUGAUCAAACCUUUGCCUUGUGAAAAUAAAGAAGUAAAUAGCCCAGUUCCAGAAGCUAGAAGCACAUCUUUUCCCCUGAUUCAAGGAAGAGGAAUUCUCCCUUGUCUUCUCUGAAUCUGAACCUCUGCUGUCUUCUGGGGUCUGGUCUCUGCUUCACCACCCUUUGCCUCAAGCCCCAGAGCCCCGCCUUGAAUCCAGUGCAUCUGAAUACUCUCUUCUCAAUAUCCUGCACAGGGGUGGGUAAGUGUGAGUGGUAAAUGCAUCUUAUUUCUAGCUGUUCAUUAGCUUUGUUUCUUUGCUGCUUAUUGUCAUGGAAAAGUAUAAGCUACCCCACCUGAAGUGUUUAACCUUCUAACAAAGCUUCCAGCUUUAAUGCAGAUUGAUCCCAUUUGAAAAUUCUCUGUGCCAAGUGCCCUUUUUUUUACUGAGGUAGCCGGAUUUUUAUUGCCAGAAUACCUUCAUCAUACUGACUCAUUUUUGUAACUUCCAUUCUUAUAACUAUUAAAUUUUCUACCAAUAAAACUUUAGUUUUUUUUAUUUUUUCAUGCUUUUUGAUAGACCAGUUCAUUCUGUGUUACAUUGGCUAUUUCUGAGAUUUGGGGUCAUCAAGACAUAUGUGACACACAUGUAUUUUGGACCUAGGCUGGCAUUUUCAUUUAGAGACAAGACAAGGAAGAUGCAAUACUAUGUGGGUGCCUCUGUUCUCUAGUUUUUCCAUUUAGAAUGGAUAAGCAAUGAGGUCCUACUGUACAGCGCAGGGAACUAUAUCCAGUCUCUUGGAGAGACCGUGAUGGAUGAUAGUAUGAAGAAAGGAAUGUAUACACACAUAUACACAUACACACACAACUGAGUCAUUUUGCUGUAUAGCAGAAAUUGGCACAACACUGUAAAUCAGCUAUACUUUAAUAAAAAUAAAGAAAUGGAAUUUUUCCCUAGUAUACUUGAACUUUGAACUAAUAUUUGAGUACGGGUAGGACUCAAAUAUUAUUAGCCAGUUACUUCAGUCAUUUAAAUACCAAAGUUUUGUGUAUCCUUUGCUACUUUUUGUUCAACAAAAAUUGGGGCAAACAUUUUCUUUGAAAAGAGGUGGUCCUUGUUACCUAUCAAAAGAUUCCUGGUGACAUGUCUCUGAUGCAGAAAAAUACUAAUAUGAAUACUGGCAAAUUAUUGUUCUCAAACCUGAAUGAUAAGUAUUAGUUUUGUUUUCUAUUCCUCAUAAUUCGAUGCACUUCUGAGAAGUUUGGGGAAAGAAACCCACACAUUGCAUUUAAAAGUGAAAAAUGACAAUCAGUAAUUAUUUCUCUUGCAUCUCUUGUGCACAGACUUGACUUAUAUAGUUAGCUAAUGCUUCUCUGUUUAAUAUAACAAGUUAAAAGUGAAAAGAGAGAUAUCUGACUCCAUUUAUUUUUCAAAAACCAAUUUUUAAACUUGUGUAAGUUCAAAUUCUUGUGAAAUGCUCCCUCAUUUUGAAACCUUAUCUCUGGCUUCAAGCAUUUUUCCUUUAGGCAAAUUUAGGACAUCAGCCAGCAUGAGAGAAGGGAUAAUUCAGGCAAGUAAACUCAUUGAUACCCAAGAAAUGAAACUACUUGCUUUUCCUACAGAUAGUACUGAUGCCACCCACCUCUGAGCUGGCUGUCUGCCUUUGAAAUUAUCAACCUCAGCAAUACAGCAGAGUCCCUAAAAUUGGUCUCGCCUGUGUACCAUCCUUAAAGUAUAUAUGGGAAAUUUCCAGUGAACUUUGGAAACUACCAGAUGAGAAUACUCAUUUUUAAUUUUGUUAUUAAUGUCAGGAUGUCAAUAAGGAGUCUUUCUCCUCAUUGGGCCCAACAUGAUACCAACCUUGUCAUCUUAUUAUGUGUUCCUACCCAGCACUCUUUUUCAUUCUCCAUGGCAAUAUCAAACCUUCACAUUCCCAGUGUAUUUCUCAACCCUGUCUACACGGAUAACCUUACUUCCUUCUUCAAAAAGAAAAUCAGGAGUUCCCGUUGUGACACAGCGGAAACGAAUCCGACUGGGAACCAUGCGGUUGGGGGUUCGAUCCCUGGCCUAGCUCAGUGGGUUAAGGAUCCGGCAUUUCCAUGAGCUGUGGUGUAGGUUGCAGACAAGGCUUGGAUUCUGUGUUGCUAUGGCUCUGGCAUAAGCUGGCAGCUGUAGCUCCAAUUCAACGAUUAGCCUGGGAACCUCCAUAUGCUGUGGGUGCGGCCCU